RNAcentral lists this ribosomal RNA (429 nucleotides) under Chloroflexota bacterium. RNAcentral's name for it is "Chloroflexi bacterium partial 16S ribosomal RNA". It matches the Rfam family "Bacterial small subunit ribosomal RNA", at positions 355 to 776 of the family's 1533-position model. The record is from RNAcentral. Lineage: Bacteria; Bacillati; Chloroflexota.
UGGGGAAUAUUGCACAAUGGGCGCAAGCCUGAUGCAGCCAUGCCGCGUGUGUGAAGAAGGCCUUCGGGUUGUAAAGCACUUUCAGCGGGGAGGAAGGCGAUAAGGUUAAUAACCUUGUCGAUUGACGUUACCCGCAGAAGAAGCACCGGCUAACUCCGUGCCAGCAGCCGCGGUAAUACGGAGGGUGCAAGCGUUAAUCGGAAUUACUGGGCGUAAAGCGCACGCAGGCGGUUUGUUAAGUCAGAUGUGAAAUCCCCGGGCUCAACCUGGGAACUGCAGCUGAUACUGGCAAGCUUGAGUCUCGUAGAGGGGGGUAGAAUUCCAGGUGUAGCGGUGAAAUGCGUCGAGAUCUGGAGGAAUACCGGUGGCGAAGGCGGCCCCCUGGACGAAGACUGACGCUCAGGUGCGAAAGCGUGGGGAGCAAACAGG